This 150-nucleotide ribosomal RNA is filed under the name uncultured Atheliaceae. RNAcentral's name for it is "5.8S ribosomal RNA". It matches the Rfam family "5.8S ribosomal RNA". From Rfam's summary of the family: 5.8S ribosomal RNA (5.8S rRNA) is a component of the large subunit of the eukaryotic ribosome. It is transcribed by RNA polymerase I as part of the 45S precursor that also contains 18S and 28S rRNA. Functionally, it is thought that 5.8S rRNA may be involved in ribosome translocation. Lineage: Eukaryota; Fungi; Basidiomycota; Agaricomycetes; Atheliales; Atheliaceae. The record is from RNAcentral.
AACAACGGAUCUCUUGGCUCUCGCAUCGAUGAAGAACGCAGCGAAAUGCGAUAAGUAAUGUGAAUUGCAGAUUUUCAGUGAAUCAUCGAAUCUUUGAACGCACCUUGCGCUCCUUGGUAUUCCGAGGAGCAUGCCUGUUUGAGUGUCAUU